This 1957-nucleotide long non-coding RNA is filed under the name Pandoravirus salinus. Its description in RNAcentral is "putative ncRNA". The record is from RNAcentral.
UCUCGUCCGAUGUCCAGAGGGCGCCGGCAAGAGGGUCGGUCGCGGCUAUUCCGGCAACGGCCGCAGCGAGCGUAUCCAGCGUGGAACGUCCCGCGUGGCGUGCCGUCGUGCCGUCGAGGUGACGCUCCGGAUCGACCACCAUGACGCGGGCCGUGGCGAUGCUCGCAGCGUCGAGCGCACCGCGCGCGACGAGAUCCGAUACGCACGGUGCGUCAUAGGCCUCGAUGGCCUCGGCGAUGUCGGGACGGGUGGCCAGCGCCUGCACCUGAAUCUUGCGUUCGUCCCACGAGAUGACGGCGUGACGCGCCGUCAACAGCACGGCGGCGGUGAGCGCCGGUCGCGCGUGGACGAGGCCGCGCGCGAGCGCCUCCAUAAGACUCAGGAGGGCCAUGACGGCCCGUUCGCAGUUGGCGCCGCGCGCCACCGCCAGCAGCGGCCCAAAGGCCCACGCCACGGGGCGGCAAAAGAACUCGCGUGCGGCGCGGCCGGCCAGCGUCGGCCAAUAGGGGUGGGCGGCGUCGGCGCCGGGCUCGGCGUUGAUCAAACGCAUGGCAUCGUCCACGAAUGACGGCCUGUGCGGGGCCGCAGCGCCCUUGGGCGGCCACUCGACGCGUCGGCACUCGAUGCACUCGAUCGCCAACACGAUAUGGCCUAAUGCGAGCACGCCCUCUUCGACCAUGAGCGUGGUGCCUUCGGCAAGCGCCGCCGCAUCUUGCAUGUCGACCGCCUCUCCCUCUGCAGGCGGUUGCGCUGCCGCUCCUCCUUCUCGCUCCAAUGGCCCUUGCCCUUGUUGCGCCUCGUCCAUGUCGGUGCCGGUGUCGUCCUUCUGCGCCUCCUCGAUGUCGGCGGGCGUGACGCCGUUGGCCCACACUUCGGACGCCACGCGCGCCAGACCGGCAAAAGUGGCCACGGCGCGCUGGGCGUCGAUCCGACCGCAUGCCUCGAUGGCGGCGGCGGCCGCUGCUUUGCGCGCAGACGGCACCGGCUCGGCGAUCGAGGCAGCCCAUGCGACCGAAUCGGUGAGGAGCGCGUGGCCGCCCAUCUCAUCAAAGGCCGUCUCCGUGGUCAUGGAGGCCACCAGCGGCUCCAGGUCGACCUCGAUCGUCUUGAUGCUGGCGUCGGCCACGAGACGACUCUUGGGCCAUGAGGCCGUCGCCGCCACGACCGCGGCCAGGUGCGCGCGCGCCUCUCUGUGCUUGCCGGCGGCGACGCUGGCCUCCCACAUGGCCAUGGAGGCGAGCACGGCCGACAGGGCCAUGGGCGACGCCAGCCCGACGUCUUCGACGCACGCCGUCGCCAGCGAGGCAAACACACCGGCGCCGUCGCCGCUGCGGUCGCGCUCGACGGCGACGCGCACCGCAUCGACCUGGUGCCCGCGACGCAAGCACGUGCGCAGCGCGCAUGCCAUCUCGGUCGCGUCGUACCAGUUGGCCGUGAGGGCCGGCGACGUCGCCUCGUCGGCCGGCGUCGGGCGCUUCUUCUUGGCCGCUGUGCUCAUGGAUGCUCGCGGACGGGCAGAGGCCGAAGCGGGAAAAAAAGGAAGGAGAAGAAGAGCCGGUUCAAAAAGAAAAAAAGGAAAAAAGAGGGCGAAACAAAGAACAAGCGUGUCUGCGCGGUCGCUCGAUCAAAGGAGGAGGAGGAGGAGACAAAAAAAGGACGACGGCGACGACAGUGGCGGCGGGCAGAUUAUGCUCUCCCGUCUUGUCUGCUGCUCGCUCUUUUCGGUCUGCGGCUAUUUUGCUUGGCGUGUCUAGCGUGAUCCAAUCUGACGGCGUUUGUUGCGCUCUCUCUUGGGCGUUGUGCUCGCUCGGUCUCUCUUCCUCUGCCCCGGCGCGCUCUUGUCUCCUUUUUUUUGGAUUCUUUUUCGAGCAAUUCCUGUGCCCGUCCUCGGCUUUUUUUUGGCUCCCUAUGACGGCGUGCGGUCCGUCCCUUUUGCCUCUUGCCGGCUCUCUUUUUU